CAUGGCCCUUAAGGAAGCUGCAGCUGCUUCCACAUAGCUGCUGGGGUCACAAAGGAGCCUAGAGCGAGUUUUCCUUGACGGUGGCCCGUCUCUUUGCUGUAACUGAUCUGCAGCAGUUCGGCUAAAGAUUGUC
Small nucleolar RNA from Molossus molossus (Pallas's mastiff bat), 133 nucleotides. Lineage: Eukaryota; Metazoa; Chordata; Mammalia; Chiroptera; Molossidae. The record is from RefSeq and is a predicted model, not a curated record.